Long non-coding RNA from Culicoides brevitarsis, 253 nucleotides. RefSeq lists it as uncharacterized. The record is from RefSeq and is a predicted model, not a curated record. Lineage: Eukaryota; Metazoa; Arthropoda; Insecta; Diptera; Ceratopogonidae. The transcript has 2 exons.
UUAGUAGGAUAAAUUCUGAUUAAAUAGGUUGGUAAGUGAAAUUAGUAGGAUAAAUUCUGAUUAAAUAGGUUGGUAAGUGAAAUUAGUAGGAUAAAUUCUGAUUAAAUAGGUUGGUAAGUGAAAUUAGUAGGAUAAAUUCUGAUUAAAUAGGUUGGUAAGUGAAAUUAGUAGGAUAAAUUCUGAUUAAAUAGGUUGGUAAGUGAAAUUAGUAGGAUAAAUUCUGAUUAAAUAGGUUGGUAAGUGAAAUUAGUAG